RNAcentral lists this ribosomal RNA (310 nucleotides) under uncultured bacterium. RNAcentral's name for it is "bacterial SSU rRNA". It matches the Rfam family "Bacterial small subunit ribosomal RNA", at positions 29 to 334 of the family's 1533-position model. The record is from RNAcentral.
AACAAACGCUGGCGGCGUGCCUAAUACAUGCAAGUCGAACGGGGGAAGAUCCUUCGGGAUCCGGUACUAGUGGCGCACGGGUGAGUAAUGCGUGGAUAAUCUGCCCUCUGGUGGGGAACAACAAGUCGAAAGAUUUGCUAAUUCCGCAUAAGACUACAGUGUCUACGGACACAGGAGUUAAAGGCUUCGGCCGCCAGUGGAUGAGUCCACGUCCGAUUAGCUUGAUGGUGGGGUAAAAGCCUACCAUGGCUCCGAUCGGUAGCUGGUCUGAGAGGAUGAUCAGCCACACUGGAACUGAGACACGGUCCAG